AGGUCAGUAGGUUUUAGAUUAGGCCCCACGUGGCUCUAAACACACAUCACCUCCAAAGGGGUGGCUCUGAGGACACAGAUCACUCCUGUUUUGUGAUGUCAGCAGAACACUAAAUGUAUAAGGCCUGAUCCUUUCAGGUUCCAAAUGCCCCCAACUCUCAUUAGCAGCAGUGGCAGAAAUGGGAAAGGGAGCAAGGAAGGGCAACAAAAUAAAGGAAUGGACAGUCUUCUGUCUGAGGAGAGAGUGAAAAGAUCAGGACAAUUUAGUUUAGACGGCAAACGAAGAAGUGAUUACUGCUCUGUAGUGGAACAGAGGGCAGCUUUAUUAGAAGACACUGCACAGCAGUCUAGCAACAGAAGAAUGUGCCAGUUGACAGUUACAGAUAUUCCUCUGUGAGAUACGGCAGAAUGGUGGAAAUGAAACAGAUUAUAUAAAAAAUGUAAUUCAGAGCAGUUUCUGGUAAAGAGUCAAAGAACCAUAUAAUUCAACAUUUAUAUAGACAAGGCUUCAAGGGAACUCUUAAAAAAGAAACUGGAGGAAGUCGUGUUUGCAUUUUAUGUCAGUGGAUAUCUGCCUCCAAGAAACAAUGCUUGGCUGACAGGAAGACAACAACAAAAAUCUGACCACAGCCAGAGAUCAGUGGCACUGAAAUCUGCUUCCAGAUCCCCAGUGCUUUACGCUGCUACCCUGGGAAGCGUGCGGCCGAGGGAUUGGAAGCCUAAGGUAAAGGCACCGAGACCAAAGAAACACAAUCAAGAAUUAAAGUGACUUAGAGGAUGAGGGGAUGAACACCAGGGACCGGGGAGAGAAAUAAAAAGACCUUGGGAGCGAUGGAAGCACCAGGGCUUGGAGAAAGGACAUGCUGCCACUCACCAAU
Long non-coding RNA from Mauremys mutica (yellowpond turtle), 877 nucleotides. RefSeq lists it as uncharacterized. The record is from RefSeq and is a predicted model, not a curated record. Lineage: Eukaryota; Metazoa; Chordata; Testudines; Geoemydidae. The transcript is spliced from 4 exons.